GAAGAAAUCCAGUCAUCCAAGACAGAGCUCCGCAUUUUAUUGUUCAGCCCAGCAUGAUAUGCAGCACAAGAAAUGCCGCUGCUGGUUAUAUGGAUCGCAAGAUCAUCACACAUAGUACGUUCCAGGCAAUAAAUAAUAGCGCACACAUUUCCACAAGAUUUUAGUAAUUUACACACGUCAGCAUAUGGAUCAUCCAAAAGGUCUUUA
This 207-nucleotide unclassified non-coding RNA is filed under the name Hevea brasiliensis (rubber tree). Lineage: Eukaryota; Viridiplantae; Streptophyta; Magnoliopsida; Malpighiales; Euphorbiaceae. The record is from RNAcentral.